UACAGAGGGUGCGAGCGUUAAUCGGAAUUAUUGGGCGUAAAGAGCGUGUAGGCGGCCAGGUAGGUCUGCUGUGAAAACUCGAGGCUCAACCUCGAGACGUCGGCGGAAACCAUCUGGCUAGAGUCCGGAAGAGGAGAGUGGAAUUCCUGGUGUAGCGGUGAAAUGCGCAGAUAUCAGGAGGAACACCGGUGGCGAAGGCGGGUCUCUGGGCAACAACUGACGCUGAGGAGCGAAAGCGUGGGGAGCGAACAGG
This 253-nucleotide ribosomal RNA is filed under the name uncultured bacterium. RNAcentral describes it as "partial 16S ribosomal RNA". It matches the Rfam family "Bacterial small subunit ribosomal RNA", at positions 524 to 776 of the family's 1533-position model. The record is from RNAcentral.